RNAcentral lists this ribosomal RNA (253 nucleotides) under uncultured bacterium. Its description in RNAcentral is "partial 16S ribosomal RNA". It matches the Rfam family "Bacterial small subunit ribosomal RNA", at positions 524 to 776 of the family's 1533-position model. The record is from RNAcentral.
UACAGGGGGUGCAAACGUUGCUCGGAAUUAUUGGGCGUAAAGCGCGCGUAGGCGGCUACCUAAGUCGGAUGUGAAAGCCCCUGGCUUAACUGGGGAAGUGCACCCGAAACUGAGUAGCUAGAGUGCGAAAGAGGGUCGCGGAAUUCCCGGUGUAGAGGUGAAAUUCGUAGAUAUCGGGAGGAACACCGGUGGCGAAGGCGGCGACCUGGGUCGACACUGACGCUGAGACGCGAAAGCGUGGGGAGCAAACAGG